Molecule: transfer RNA, 77 nt
Filed under: Verrucomicrobiota bacterium
Lineage: Bacteria; Pseudomonadati; Verrucomicrobiota
Also listed under: 4 other names
Description: tRNA-Met
Rfam family: tRNA
About the family: Transfer RNA (tRNA) molecules are approximately 80 nucleotides in length. Their secondary structure includes four short double-helical elements and three loops (D, anti-codon, and T loops).
Source: RNAcentral
UGCGGGGUAGAGCAGCCCGGUAGCUCGUCAGGCUCAUAACCUGAAGGUCAUUGGUUCAAAUCCAAUCCCCGCUACCA